This 527-nucleotide ribosomal RNA is filed under the name Bifidobacterium pseudocatenulatum. RNAcentral's name for it is "bacterial SSU rRNA". It matches the Rfam family "Bacterial small subunit ribosomal RNA", at positions 160 to 699 of the family's 1533-position model. Lineage: Bacteria; Bacillati; Actinomycetota; Actinomycetes; Bifidobacteriales; Bifidobacteriaceae. The record is from RNAcentral.
GUGGUAAUGCCGGAUGCUCCGACUCCUCGCAUGGGGUGUCGGGAAAGAUUUCAUCGGUAUGGGAUGGGGUCGCGUCCUAUCAGGUAGUCGGCGGGGUAACGGCCCACCGAGCCUACGACGGGUAGCCGGCCUGAGAGGGCGACCGGCCACAUUGGGACUGAGAUACGGCCCAGACUCCUACGGGAGGCAGCAGUGGGGAAUAUUGCACAAUGGGCGCAAGCCUGAUGCAGCGACGCCGCGUGCGGGAUGACGGCCUUCGGGUUGUAAACCGCUUUUGAUCGGGAGCAAGCCUUCGGGUGAGUGUACCUUUCGAAUAAGCACCGGCUAACUACGUGCCAGCAGCCGCGGUAAUACGUAGGGUGCAAGCGUUAUCCGGAAUUAUUGGGCGUAAAGGGCUCGUAGGCGGUUCGUCGCGUCCGGUGUGAAAGUCCAUCGCUUAACGGUGGAUCUGCGCCGGGUACGGGCGGGCUGGAGUGCGGUAGGGGAGACUGGAAUUCCCGGUGUAACGGUGGAAUGUGUAGAUAUCG